GAUGAACGCUGGCGGCGUGCUUAACACAUGCAAGUCGAACGGUGAAGCCCAGCUUGCUGGGUGGAUCAGUGGCGAACGGGUGAGUAACACGUGAGCAACCUGCCCCUGACUCUGGGAUAAGCGCUGGAAACGGCGUCUAAUACUGGAUACGAGUAGCGACCGCAUGGUCAGUUACUGGAAAGAUUUAUUGGUUGGGGAUGGGCUCGCGGCCUAUCAGCUUGUUGGUGAGGUAAUGGCUCACCAAGGCGUCGACGGGUAGCCGGCCUGAGAGGGUGACCGGCCACACUGGGACUGAGACACGGCCCAGACUCCUACGGGAGGCAGCAGUGGGGAAUAUUGCACAAUGGGCGCAAGCCUGAUGCAGCAACGCCGCGUGAGGGAUGACGGCCUUCGGGUUGUAAACCUCUUUUAGCAGGGAAGAAGCGAAAGUGACGGUACCUGCAGAAAAAGCGCCGGCUAACUACGUGCCAGCAGCCGCCGUAACAC
RNAcentral lists this ribosomal RNA (486 nucleotides) under uncultured bacterium. RNAcentral's name for it is "bacterial SSU rRNA". It matches the Rfam family "Bacterial small subunit ribosomal RNA", at positions 28 to 526 of the family's 1533-position model. The record is from RNAcentral.